GGUGCGUUGAAAGUUGUUAAUAAAGUUUCAUUUGAAAAAAACAAAGAACGAAGCAUAUCCACAAUUACGAAGGUAAGAUCAUUAAUGUGAAUGUUAGCAUGUUUGUGUACUGGCAUAAUGUGUAGUAAGUGCUAACACUGUGUUUCUAUUUGUUUCUUUCUAUCACUGUCACAAUUUUCAAUGUCAGUACGAAAGAAGGAUUCCAGCGGAGAGAUUAGCGUUAGAGCUGAGUGCUUCAGAUCAAUGAGGACAAAACAAAAGCCUCACAGUCUGAGUGUAAGGGAAAGUUAUGCAGCAGGUUCAUGACAGAUUUCUGUUCAUCAAAUCAAGUUUCUGUGAAUCAUAUAGGUGCCACGAGUACUGCUAAAAGCUACUUAUAAAUAUAUACAUAAUUUGAUAAACAAUUCAUAACAUUACUGUGUGAAAAUAGGCAAUGGGAUUCACAGAAACUAGAUACUAACAGUCUGUGUUUUACCACUUUUCAAUAUUAUGUGCGUCUCAUAUUCAUUAGUAAAGAGAGACUGAGAUCAGAUAUUGUUUGGCUAAAUGUAUUUAGUUAUUAUCUUCCUUUUUCUAUAAUUGUUCCUUCUAUAACACAUUUUCAUUAAGUAUUUAAAGUUAAACUGCACUUGCAGCAAGUACAGUAUGUAUUGUACAACAUUGUAACAAAUUUGUGUAUUUUCCCAGAUUGCACUAAGGGAUACCCGUCCUGUGCAGCUACAAAGCUGCCAGUGUACCUGUGUGGCUGGUGCAGCCUUGUGCAACCAUGUGGCAGCACUAUUAUACCAGACUGCACACUAUUCUCAGCUCAACAUCACCACUGUCCCCCCAGUGCACAGCUGCACAGAGACAGAACAGCAGUGGCAUAAACCAAGAACCAUGGGUGUUAAACCUGGUCCUGUAAAUGAAAUGGUCAUCCUUUCAGCCAGACCCAAGGAAAGAAGACUUACACAGGGAGUCAGGAGCAACUUAUAUAAAGGAGUCAGGGCGCGGUCACACUGGCCAUCCGUACCGUGCUCAAGCACGCUUCAACCCUAAAGUCCAGUUCAUUUGACCAGUGUGACUGCUCUGUAUCGUACUCGGGCACGGUACACUUCCUUGGCUUUGGCACACUUCAGAGAGGUGUGCUUCAGCACGGUACACUUCAUGCACGAGCACAA
Molecule: non-coding RNA, 1160 nt
Organism: Labrus bergylta (ballan wrasse)
Lineage: Eukaryota; Metazoa; Chordata; Actinopteri; Labriformes; Labridae
Source: RefSeq, a predicted model, not a curated record